This 64-nucleotide transfer RNA is filed under the name Lepidurus apus lubbocki. RNAcentral's name for it is "tRNA-Ile". The record is from RNAcentral. Lineage: Eukaryota; Metazoa; Arthropoda; Branchiopoda; Notostraca; Triopsidae.
AAUUGAGUGCCUGAUUAAAGGAUUACCUUGAUAGGGUAAAUAAUGUAGCUACCUACCUCAAUUA